GAUGAACGCUAGCGGCAGGCUUAACACAUGCAAGUCGAGGGGUAGAAGCAGCUUGCUGCUUUGAGACCGGCGCACGGGUGCGUAACGCGUAUACAAUCUACCUUUUACAGAGGGAUAGCCCAGAGAAAUUUGGAUUAAUACCUCAUAGUAUUUUCGAAUCGCAUGAUUUGAUUAUUAAAGUUCCAACGGUAAAGAUGAGUAUGCGUCCCAUUAGCUAGAUGGUAAGGUAACGGCUUACCAUGGCAACGAUGGGUAGGGGUCCUGAGAGGGAGAUCCCCCCACACUGGUACUGAGACACGGACCAGACUCCUACGGGAGGCAGCAGUGAGGAAUAUUGGACAAUGGGCGCAAGCCUGAUCCAGCCAUGCCGCGUGCAGGAAGACGGUCCUAUGGAUUGUAAACUGCUUUUAUACAGGAAGAAACACCUCUACGUGUAGAGACUUGACGGUACUGUAUGAAUAAGCAUCGGCUAACUCCGUGCCAG
This 484-nucleotide ribosomal RNA is filed under the name uncultured bacterium. RNAcentral's name for it is "bacterial SSU rRNA". It matches the Rfam family "Bacterial small subunit ribosomal RNA", at positions 28 to 511 of the family's 1533-position model. The record is from RNAcentral.